RNAcentral lists this ribosomal RNA (120 nucleotides) under uncultured bacterium. RNAcentral describes it as "partial 16S ribosomal RNA". It matches the Rfam family "Bacterial small subunit ribosomal RNA", at positions 30 to 147 of the family's 1533-position model. The record is from RNAcentral.
AUUGAACGCUGGCGGCAUGCUUUACACAUGCAAGUCGAGCGGCAGCGCGGGGGCAACCCUGGCGGCGAGCGGCGAACGGGUGAGUAAUGCAUCGGAACGUGUCCGGGAGUGGGGGAUAAC